RNAcentral lists this ribosomal RNA (459 nucleotides) under uncultured bacterium. Its description in RNAcentral is "bacterial SSU rRNA". It matches the Rfam family "Bacterial small subunit ribosomal RNA", at positions 29 to 531 of the family's 1533-position model. The record is from RNAcentral.
AACGAACGCUGGCGGCAUGCCUAACACAUGCAAGUCGAACGAAGGCUUCGGCCUUAGUGGCGCACGGGUGCGUAACGCGUGGGAACCUGCCCCUCGGUUCGGAAUAACAGUUAGAAAUGACUGCUAAUACCGGAUGAUGACUUCGGUCCAAAGAUUUAUCGCCGAGGGAUGGGCCCGCGUAGGAUUAGCUAGUUGGUGGGGUAAAGGCCUACCAAGGCGACGAUCCUUAGCUGGUCUGAGAGGAUGAUCAGCCACACUGGGACUGAGACACGGCCCAGACUCCUACGGGAGGCAGCAGUGGGGAAUAUUGGACAAUGGGCGAAAGCCUGAUCCAGCAAUGCCGCGUGAGUGAUGAAGGCCUUAGGGUUGUAAAGCUCUUUUACCAGGGAUGAUAAUGACAGUACCUGGAGAAUAAGCUCCGGCUAACUCCGUGCCAGCAGCCGCGGAAAGUAUCGUACG